RNAcentral lists this ribosomal RNA (350 nucleotides) under uncultured crenarchaeote. Its description in RNAcentral is "partial 16S ribosomal RNA". It matches the Rfam family "Archaeal small subunit ribosomal RNA", at positions 503 to 855 of the family's 1478-position model. Lineage: Archaea; Thermoproteati; Thermoproteota. The record is from RNAcentral.
UAUGGGCCUAAGCUCCGUAGCCGGCUCUGUAAGUUUUCGGUUAAAUCUGUAUGCUCAACAUACAGGCUGCCGGGAAUACUGCAGAGCUAGGGAGUGGGAGAGGUAGACGGUACUCGGUAGGAAGGGGUAAAAUCCUUUGAUCUAUUGAUGACCACCUGUGGCGAAGGCGGUCUACCAGAACACGUCCGACGGUGAGGGAUGAAAGCUGGGGGAGCAAACCGGAUUAGAUACCCGGGUAGUCCCAGCUGUAAACUAUGCAAACUCAGUGAUGCAUUGGCUUGUGGCCAAUGCAGUGCUGCANGGAAGCCGUUAAGUUUGCCNCCUGGGAAGUACNNNCGNNNGUAUNAAAC